Molecule: ribosomal RNA, 553 nt
Filed under: uncultured Nitrososphaerota archaeon
Lineage: Archaea; Thermoproteati; Nitrososphaerota
Description: bacterial SSU rRNA
Rfam family: Archaeal small subunit ribosomal RNA
Source: RNAcentral
ACGGGGUGCAGCAGGCGCGAAAACUUUGCAAUGUGCGAAAGCACGACAAAGUUAAUCCGAGUGGUUUCUGCUAAAGAAACCUUUUGUCAGUCCUAGAAACACUGAUGAAUAAGGGGUGGGCAAGUUCUGGUGUCAGCCGCCGCGGUAAAACCAGCACCUCAAGUGGUCAGGAUGAUUAUUGGGCCUAAAGCAUCCGUAGCUCGUUUUGUAAGUUUUCGGUUAAAUCCAUGCGCUUAACGUAUGGGCUGCCGGGAAUACUGCAUAACUAGGAAGUGGGAGAGGUAGACGGUACUCGGUAGGAAGGGGUAAAAUCCUUUGAUCUAUUGAUGACCACCUGUGGCGAAGGCGGUCUACCAGAACACGUUCGACGGUGAGGGAUGAAAGCUGGGGGAGCAAACCGGAUUAGAUACCCGGGUAGUCCCAGCUGUAAACUAUGCAAACUCAGUGAUGCAUUGGCUUGUGGCCGAUGCAGUGCUGCAGGGAAGCCGUUAAGUUUGCCGCCUGGGAAGUACGUAUGCAAGUAUGGAACUUAAAGGAAUUGGCGGGGGAGCAC